This 545-nucleotide long non-coding RNA is filed under the name Mus musculus (house mouse). RNAcentral describes it as "myeloid RNA regulator of BCL2L11 induced cell death". The record is from RNAcentral. Lineage: Eukaryota; Metazoa; Chordata; Mammalia; Rodentia; Muridae.
GCUCAACCUGGGACUAACCUGGGACUUGUGGCCCUGUCUCCUCUUGUCUUCAUCAUCAUGGGAUAUCUGCCCUGAGACAUUUUGUGCAGAGGUCUCCACAGCACAAACUCUGUCUGCUUCUGGUGGAAGUGCUGUGAGAGCUUGAAGGUCCUGCCUGGUGUCCUGCCUUCCUCACUGUGGAGGAAGAGUGAGACUCUUAUGACUGUGAACCUUGGGAAGACCUUGGGAAUAACUGGGAGCUGAAACAGGAAGCCCCAUGACACAGUUGAUCGAAAAUGACACAGACACAGAAAAAUCAGGACGUGCCCCCAGCAGCACCCCUACCUGCUGCCUGCUGAUCACGGCUGGGAGGCCCGUCCAGGGUUCCCACCCGGGAACGGACUCUUAGCUACUCAGUGCUCACGGGUGCUGGGCCUGCAGAGCUUUUCGGAUGCUCUCUUACAGCUGGUUUGUUAUCUUUUAAUCAAUCAACUAAUUAAUCUAUUACUUUAUUUAUUGGCCCUCCCCAUGUCUUGAUCCUUUCUUCAUUAAAAGCAAAAGGAAAG